GUCUUGUAAAUAAAAUGGGUCGAAGGGGAAAAGAACUGACAUCUUAUCAGAAAAGGGAUUUCGCUGCAUUAAAUGAUGCAGGUUACCGAAAAAGUGAAAUAGUCAGACUGACCGGCAUUACACAAAGACCCGUUGACAUUUUUUGAAGAGGUAUGAACAUCGCGGUGAUAUAGAAAACAUACGGAGAUGCAGCAGACCUAAAUCCUUUCAUGACCGGUAUAUGAGAAAAUUUUCCCGUCCCGUAAAAAAAUAUCGCCAUGAAGGUUUAGCUGAAAUUACAAAUAAUUUUAAUGAGAACAUUGAUAGACCUUUCUCUAAAAGAACUGUUGAAUGUAAAAUACAUUUUGAUUGAUUCUGCACGCGGUCAGUUUAAAAAAAAAUAUCGUAUAUGUGAGAUCAAUUAGAAAAAACGAGUGGCAUACUGCAUAGGAAAUCUACAUAAAAGAGGAAAUGUACACUGGAGUAAAUGGAUAUUCAACGAUAAGUGAAAGGUAGUCAUACGGCAAAAUUCUUCAGCCAAUGUCUAGAGAAGGUCGGAGAAGAGUGGUUGAUGGAUUGUAUUUUCCUUCCGUCUCAGCGCAACUAUUGUUUGAUGAUCUGGGGAUGUAUUAAUUACAAUGACGUGGGAAUUAUUAACUGUUAUUGACGGGAACAUAAAUGCCUUAAAAUACUUUGACAUAAUUGACAACAAAGUGUGGUCAAUGAUUAUUAAAUUCAGAAGAGUUUUUAAACUCGACGUCGAAUAAUCUCACAAAAAAGGAAACAAAUAUUUCGGCGACUUUUGUUAGCAGGUAUACUCGAAUGACCAUUAGGAAAAAAGCGAAACAUCAAUAUCAAGGUAAUCAAUUUUACAUUUAUUGUACCUAAUAUAUCUGCACUGUGUGGUGUGAUCUAAUUUUGUUGAAAAUAUUGACAAAAAAAAGUAGGCACGUAAAACAUCUCUAAUUAUUAUCAAUUUCUAAUAAAACAACGUUUUUCUAUUGCAACGAAAGUCCUUUCAAAGUCCGAACCAAUGACAAGGUUUAUAAAAAAAUAAAUCAGCGCUUUUAUGAAAAGAUGUUUUCAAUGAACAUAAUAAAAGAGGAACGAAAGAUACAAGAGGGACAGUCAAACUCAUAAAUCGAAAAUAAACUGACAACACCAUGGCUAAAAAUAAAAAGUUCAAACAGACAAACAAUAGUACACAUGAUACAACAUAGAAAACUAAAGAAUAAACAACACGAACCGCAUUUAUAAUUAUACCUUCACAUUUCACACAAUUAGUUGUUAACCCAUUCGAACAAAAAGAACUGCAUUCUUAGCUGUUUAUUAUUUUGAACAAAAGCCUAAUGAAAAAAUUAUAAAGUAUGCACUGUUUUCUAUUAUACAUUGAUAACUUACUUCAUCAAUUUACAAUUAUUGACUUAGUUUUAUUAUUAAUUUCAGAAAAAAAUGAUCAUCUUGUCGAAUAAUCUCACAAAAGUAGAAGCAAAAAUUUCGGCGACUUUUUUAACAGGUAUAUUCAAAUGACCGUUAGAAAAAAGCGGAACAUCAAUAUUAUGGUAAUCAACUUUACGUUUAUUCUACCUAACAUAACGGCACUGUGUGUUGUGAUUUAAUUUUGUUGAAAAAAUUGACAAAAAAAAAAUUAGCACGUAAAACAUCUGAUAAAUAAGCAAUAUCGAAUAAAACAACGUUUCUCUAUUGCAAGAAAAGUGUUUCACAAGUUGAAACUAGGGACAAAGUGUGAAGAAAUACAAAACAGCGCUUUUAUGAAAAGACGUUUUCAAAGAAUAUCACAAUUAUACAAUCACAUUUCACACAAUAAGUUGUUAACCCAUUUGAACAACUAUAACUGCAUUCUUAGUUGUUGAUAAUUUUUGUAAAAAAAAAAUGGCCGAAAAAGGUAUAAAGUGCGCACUGUUUUUUUUUUACCUUAUACAUUAAUUACCUACUUCAUCUAUAAAUAAUUAUUGUAUACUUUUUAUUUUCAUUAUCAGAAGAAUUUUCAAACUCGUGGAAUAAUAUCUGAAAAGAGGAAGCAAAAAUUUCGACGACUUCUUUUUAGCAGGAAUAUUCGAAUGACCGUUAGAAAAAAAGAGAAACAUCAAUAUCAAGAUAAUCAAUUGUACAAUAACUCUAACUAAUAUAACGGCACUGUGUGGUGUGGUAUAAUUUGGUGAAAAUAUUGACUGACAAAAGUGGGCACGUAACACAUCUCAUCAAUAAGCAAUUUCCAAUAAAUCAACAUUUUUAUUUUGCAAGGAAAGUCCUUACUAAGUCAACCAAAGUGACAAAGUUUGCAGAAAAAUAAAUCAGGGCUUUUCUGAAAAGCUGUUUUCAUUGAAGAUACAUGUAGCAAUUAUACAGUAUUCUGCCAUAAGUAUUCGUAAAAACAACAAUUGCGGUCACGUCAUGGAAGGUUAAACAAGUUUUGGCCGUCGUCUCCAUGUCACAAUCUGGAUGACCGUGAAUCUAAAUUUAAAUAUAAAUUGAUCUGUAGAAAAACAUGUGGUUGUCAUGUGACACGUGCAUGAUGGCAUCAACCUUGUCUUGUAAAUAAAAUGGGUCGAAGGGGAAAAGAACUGACAUCUUAUCAGAAAAGGGAUUUCGCUGCAUUAAAUGAUGCAGGUUACCGAAAAAGUGAAAUAGUCAGACUGACCGGCAUUACACAAAGACCCGUUGACAUUUUUUGAAGAGGUAUGAACAUCGCGGUGAUAUAGAAAACAUACGGAGAUGCAGCAGACCUAAAUCCUUUCAUGACCGGUAUAUGAGAAAAUUUUCCCGUCCCGUAAAAAAAUAUCGCCAUGAAGGUUUAGCUGAAAUUACAAAUAAUUUUAAUGAGAACAUUGAUAGACCUUUCUCUAAAAGAACUGUUGAAUGUAAAAUACAUUUUGAUUGAUUCUGCACGCGGUCAGUUUAAAAAAAAAUAUCGUAUAUGUGAGAUCAAU
RNAcentral lists this long non-coding RNA (2930 nucleotides) under Mytilus galloprovincialis (Mediterranean mussel). Lineage: Eukaryota; Metazoa; Mollusca; Bivalvia; Mytilida; Mytilidae. The record is from RNAcentral.